Molecule: ribosomal RNA, 655 nt
Filed under: Klebsiella pneumoniae
Lineage: Bacteria; Pseudomonadati; Pseudomonadota; Gammaproteobacteria; Enterobacterales; Enterobacteriaceae
Also listed under: 1 other name
Description: partial 16S ribosomal RNA
Rfam family: Bacterial small subunit ribosomal RNA
Source: RNAcentral
GAACUGAAGAGUUUGAUCAUGGCUCAGAUUGAACGCUGGCGGCAGGCCUAACACAUGCAAGUCGAGCGGAUGAAGGGAGCUUGCUCCUGGAUUCAGCGGCGGACGGGUGAGUAAUGCCUAGGAAUCUGCCUGGUAGUGGGGGAUAACGUCCGGAAACGGGCGCUAAUACCGCAUACGUCCUGAGGGAGAAAGUGGGGGAUCUUCGGACCUCACGCUAUCAGAUGAGCCUAGGUCGGAUUAGCUAGUUGGUGGGGUAAAGGCCUACCAAGGCGACGAUCCGUAACUGGUCUGAGAGGAUGAUCAGUCACACUGGAACUGAGACACGGUCCAGACUCCUACGGGAGGCAGCAGUGGGGAAUAUUGGACAAUGGGCGAAAGCCUGAUCCAGCCAUGCCGCGUGUGUGAAGAAGGUCUUCGGAUUGUAAAGCACUUUAAGUUGGGAGGAAGGGCAGUAAGUUAAUACCUUGCUGUUUUGACGUUACCAACAGAAUAAGCACCGGCUAACUUCGUGCCAGCAGCCGCGGUAAUACGAAGGGUGCAAGCGUUAAUCGGAAUUACUGGGCGUAAAGCGCGCGUAGGUGGUUCAGCAAGUUGGAUGUGAAAUCCCCGGGCUCAACCUGGGAACUGCAUCCAAAACUACUGAGCUAGAGUACGG